This 901-nucleotide ribosomal RNA is filed under the name uncultured Sphingobacteriales cum 'Crenotrichaceae' bacterium. Its description in RNAcentral is "bacterial SSU rRNA". It matches the Rfam family "Bacterial small subunit ribosomal RNA", at positions 56 to 956 of the family's 1533-position model. The record is from RNAcentral. Lineage: Bacteria; Pseudomonadati; Bacteroidota; Sphingobacteriia; Sphingobacteriales.
UGCAAGUCGAACGAGAACCCGGAGCUUGCUCUGGGGGAAGUGGCGCACGGGUGAGUAACGCGUAGGCAAUCUGCCCCCAACUGAGGAAUAACCCAUCGAAAGGUGGGCUAAUACCACAUAACGACGGACGACCGCAUGGUCGACCGUCCAAAGUUCAGGCGGUUGGGGAUGAGCCUGCGUUGGAUUAGCUAGUUGGCGGGGUAACGGCCCACCAAGGCGACGAUCCAUAGCGGGUCUGAGAGGAUGAUCCGCCACACUGGCACUGAGACACGGGCCAGACUCCUACGGGAGGCAGCAGUGAGGAAUAUUGCGCAAUGGAGGAAACUCUGACGCAGCCACGCCGCGUGCAGGAAGACACCCCUCAGGGGCGUAAACUGCUUUUAUACGGGAAGAACACCUCGUUCUGCGAGGUCUGACGGUACCGUACGAAUAAGGACCGGCUAACUCCGUGCCAGCAGCCGCGGUAAUACGGAGGGUCCAAGCGUUGUCCGGAAUCACUGGGUGUAAAGGGUGCGCAGGCGGGCCUGUAAGUCAGAGGUGAAAGCCACCGGCCUAACCGGUGAACUGCCUUUGAUACUGCAGGUCUUGAGUCCCGGAGAGGCUAUCGGAAUUCGUGGUGUAGCGGUGAAAUGCGUAAAUAUCACGAGGAACACCGGAUGCGUAAGCGGAUAGCUGGACGGGUACUGACGCUCAGGCACGAAAGCGCGGGGAGCGAACAGGAUUAGAUACCCUGGUAGUCCGCGCCGUAAACGAUGGACGCUCGAUGUUGCACCGCUUCAGGUGCAGUGUCUAAGCUAACGCGUUAAGCGUCCCCCCUGGGGAGUACGAUCGCAAGGUUGAAACUCAAAGGAAUUGGACGGGGGGCCCGCACAAGCGGGGGAACAUGUGGAUUAAUUCGAUG